GUGAUUUUACACAACAUGUUUGCAUCAUGCAGUAUAGAUGUUUUUGCACUUGAUGAGGGACAAAGACAGAGUAAGAAAGGAAGGGUGAAUGAGUUUAUUACUGUCUGUGAAGGCUGGAGAUGCUUUACAUUAGAGCAAGUUUGUGUACGUUAAGAAGUUCACCUUCCUAUUAUUUCUUAAUUUUCAGGUGGGACAGUUCUAAAUCAUUCAGUGAAUUAACCUUGCUGUUACCUUACCAGAAGGUGAAGCAAAGUGUGAGAUCAGCAAGAGAUUCUCUUAAAUUCCUUGUGAAAGGAGAUGAUCAAGGCACCAUUGGAACAGGACACUCGAUUCAUCAUCUCUUGGAACAGAUGGAUCUGAGGGUUACUUGCAUUAUCCUUCCAGUCAGAGGGAUUCAGCUUUUCACCGUGCAGCUUCAUAUACCACCUCCCAACACCUCAAGUCACCAAAUCCUGUUGGGAGUCUUUCUGCUUUUCAAAACACGUAACUAAUUCUUAAGGAAAUCAGUUACCUGAGUGACUUCGUGCUGUGAGAUCACAAGCUGAAUGACCGGAAGGACUCACUUUCUGACCUCUUGGGCAAAUUGGACUCGUGAUUCUCGGAUAAACUUCAGUAGAAAAAUUGUGAUAACUCUUGUACGGAUAUAUAGAAAAGCCAUGGUUCACCUAGCAAGUCUCCUUCAGUGGUCAGGACUAGACAGUUCAGAAGGGGGCAUGAAAACCCGUGUAGAAUACAACUGUGCGAAGAAAAUACCCUGCAGAAAGAUUUUGUCACCCCUGUCAACUGAUACUUGUCUUUAUGCCCUGAAAUGUGAGAUUUAUGUUCCAUGGAAAUUCUGUAUUUCUCUUUAUGAUAUGCUUUCGUUAUCAUGAAAUAAUUUUCUGCAGUUCCCUGGAGAGUUCUGCUGUUGAAUGAUGCCUCAGGUGGACAAAUACAACAGAUGUAUUCCCUUC
Molecule: long non-coding RNA, 953 nt
Organism: Athene cunicularia (burrowing owl)
Lineage: Eukaryota; Metazoa; Chordata; Aves; Strigiformes; Strigidae
Exons: 2
Source: RefSeq, a predicted model, not a curated record